This is a long non-coding RNA of Phragmites australis (common reed), 705 nucleotides long. RefSeq lists it as uncharacterized. NCBI's taxonomy places the organism in Eukaryota, Viridiplantae, Streptophyta, Magnoliopsida, Poales, Poaceae. The transcript has 2 exons. The record is from RefSeq and is a predicted model, not a curated record.
UGUGCUUCUUCCCCACACACGGACGUCGCCGCCUCUCGCCCCUCGCGCCGCGCUCGCCAGCCGGCUCGGCCGCUCGAGCCCGAGCCACUCCUCGCUCUCCCCUCUCCUCUCCCUCUGCCGCCUGGGCCGGCACCCGAGCGCCCACCUCGGCUGAGCUUAAUCGCGCCGAGCGCGCUCACCCCGCGUCGCCUCUUGCCCGAGCCGCUCCUUCUCCCCGCAUGCUUAUCUCUUCCCCAAAACCCUAACCUCCGAUCCGAUUCCCUCGCGUGGGAACCCCCGCCGCCGUUAUAUAACCGGGAAGGGGGCGCUCGUGAGGGAGGAGGCCGAUUGGAUCUGCGAGAGCAAGAGAGAGAGGAGAGGUAGAGAGAAGAGAGAGAGAGAGAGGAGAUAAAGAGAGCCUCCAUCUUUGUUGCCGUCGCUGUUCGAGCUCGCCAGAGUGCCAUGGCCGGCCUCGCUUUAGCUGUCUUGCAGACUCGGAGACGAUUUGACGACAACCAGCGCAAAGCAGCUUAAUCGGAGGUUGUCUGGCCGGGAGCCGGACGUAAUUAACCGGCAGCCUCACGAGGCCCUAGGAACCAGGACAACAUUCACCGGAGAAGACUUAGUCGGAUAGCAUGUGCGUUUGUAUGUGUGGAGUGAAUUGUAAAUAUGAAACUGUACUUUAUGAUUUCGAUAAUGAAUGAAUGAAGUUAUGUGUUUUAAUUA